Molecule: ribosomal RNA, 479 nt
Filed under: Flavocaranx bajad (orangespotted trevally)
Lineage: Eukaryota; Metazoa; Chordata; Actinopteri; Carangiformes; Carangidae
Description: partial small subunit ribosomal RNA
Rfam family: Bacterial small subunit ribosomal RNA
Source: RNAcentral
CACUAUGCUUAGCCCUAAACAUUGAUCGUUUACCACAUCAAACAUCCGCCCGGGAAUUACGAACACUAGUUUAAAACCCAAAGGACUUGGCGGUGCUUAACAUCCACCUAGAGGAGCCUGUUCUAGAACCGAUAACCCCCGUUAAACCUCACCCUCCCUAGUUUUAUCCCGCCUAUAUACCACCGUCGCCAGCUUACCCUGUGAAGGCCUAAUAGUAAGCACAAUUGGCACAGCCCAAGACGUCAGGUCGAGGUGUAGUGCAUGAGAGGGGAAGAAAUGGGCUACAUUCGCUGGCCUCAGCGAAUACGAAUGAUGCAUUGAAACAUGCAGCUGAAGGAGGAUUUAGCAGUAAGCAGAAAACAGAGUGUUCCGCUGAAACCGGCUCUUAAGCGCGCACACACCGCCCGUCACCCUCCCCAAGCACCUGGACCUAAAUUUUAUUUAAACCUAAACAAACGCGAAGGAGAGGAAAGUCGUAA